Cinara cedri is the source of this 323-nucleotide non-coding RNA. The record is from the annotation of a GenBank genome assembly. Lineage: Eukaryota; Metazoa; Arthropoda; Insecta; Hemiptera; Aphididae.
UCCACUUGUCGACUAUUGGAAAUAUUAUCGUUGAGGUAGAAACGAAACAAACGAGAUGGACACACUUCGCACGAUGGAUGGGCCACUAUUGAAGGUUAGAAGUUUGAGAGAUAGCAUAUGGAAGAUAUAGAGGACAAUUUAUAUUUAUAUUUGUGUGCAACGAUAAAUCAUUACUAACGAAAAACGUUUAAAAGCGAAGUACGAUUAUACACGUUUUCGAAAAAUUACUUUGUUCGUGAGCAACUAGAUUUAAAAUGCAACAAAAAGGUCUCUUGUUAUUUGUAGAUUUCUAGGAGAAAACGUAAGUUUCAAAAUUGUAAUCA